Molecule: ribosomal RNA, 301 nt
Filed under: uncultured bacterium
Lineage: Bacteria
Description: partial 16S ribosomal RNA
Rfam family: Bacterial small subunit ribosomal RNA
Source: RNAcentral
CAGUAGCCGCGGUAAUACGAAGGGUGCAAGCGUUGUCCGGAUUUAUUGGGCGUAAAGCGAGCGCAGGCGGUUCCUUAAGUCUGAUGUGAAAGCCCACGGCUCAACCGUGGAAGGUCAUUGGAAACUGGGGAACUUGAGUGCAGAAGAGGAGAGUGGAAUUCCAUGUGUAGCGGUGAAAUGCGUAGAUAUAUGGAGGAACACCAGUGGCGAAGGCGACUCUCUGGUCUGUAACUGACGCUGAGGCUCGAAAGCGUGGGGAGCAAACAGGAUUAGAUACCCCUGUAGUCCCUGUCUCUUAUAC